UCUACUAAAGGAUAGAAGCUAUAUUCCAUUGGUCUUAGGCGCCAAGAGCCUUGGUGCAAAUCCAAGUAGUAGAA
This 74-nucleotide transfer RNA is filed under the name Pareas formosensis (Formosa slug snake). Its description in RNAcentral is "tRNA-Leu". It matches the Rfam family "tRNA". Rfam says of the family: Transfer RNA (tRNA) molecules are approximately 80 nucleotides in length. Their secondary structure includes four short double-helical elements and three loops (D, anti-codon, and T loops). Lineage: Eukaryota; Metazoa; Chordata; Lepidosauria; Squamata; Pareidae. The record is from RNAcentral.